CGGGCAGUCGCUCAGUGGUAGAGCCUCCGCUUCAUAUGCGGGAAGACCUGGGUUCGAUUCCCGGCUACUUGC
Molecule: transfer RNA, 72 nt
Filed under: Toxocara canis (dog roundworm)
Lineage: Eukaryota; Metazoa; Nematoda; Chromadorea; Rhabditida; Toxocaridae
Rfam family: tRNA
About the family: Transfer RNA (tRNA) molecules are approximately 80 nucleotides in length. Their secondary structure includes four short double-helical elements and three loops (D, anti-codon, and T loops).
Source: Rfam by way of RNAcentral